UGGAUAGAUUAUUGACUGUAUUCGACUGUAUUCACGGAGUGAAAUGGGGUAUUACACUGUUUUAAAAUGGAAAGUGAAUCAAUUAACAUAAUAGACUUCU
Molecule: microRNA precursor, 100 nt
Filed under: Nicotiana sylvestris (wood tobacco)
Lineage: Eukaryota; Viridiplantae; Streptophyta; Magnoliopsida; Solanales; Solanaceae
Description: MIR6152 microRNA precursor family
Rfam family: MIR6152 microRNA precursor family
Source: Rfam by way of RNAcentral